Non-coding RNA from Phalacrocorax carbo (great cormorant), 2727 nucleotides. Lineage: Eukaryota; Metazoa; Chordata; Aves; Suliformes; Phalacrocoracidae. The record is from RefSeq and is a predicted model, not a curated record.
ACGUGCUGUUCCAGAUCACGUUUAUAGCAAGCAGAACAUCAGACUGAAGGAAAUAAAGCAUCAAGUUUGAGCUCUGAUGUUUCAUUGAUUCAGCCCAGUUCACAGAAGCCCAAUAAGUCUGAGUUUGUUCACACAGCUGGUUGGGGAACACCUGAAAUCAAAGGAAUGUGGGGAACUGCCCAGGCUCCACUGCAGUCUGCAGGGCACAUUUGUGUUCAGAAGAGGCACUGCAACCAUGAGCAAUGUUGAACUCUCUUGACAGCCUGUCUCUUGAAGUUUUAGGUUUCAACAUCCAUGAAUUCUUCUUCCUUAUUGCAUGGUCUAUACUAAAAGUUGUGAUAGCUGGUAAAAUAAACAGUGACUCAAAAUACCUUCGGCAUGACUUGCAGUCUACACAGGCAUCAAGACUGAGCCUAGAGAAGACAUAACACCUUGGAAGUGUAGUGACAGCAGAAAUUUCAACAGUCGUCUCUGAAUGAGCUUGGUGGUAAGGGAGGCCUAAAAAGUUACAAAAACAUAUAGCUGAAACUGUCGGUUAGCAUUCACACCUUUGGCACAAAAAAAAUCAUGGAAGGAAACUGUGGUGAGGAAGGAACACAGCAAUUCCUUACACCUCGGUGCUUUCUACGAGAGGUGUUCCACAUCCUUGCUGCCAAGUGUAACAUUACUGUGCUCAGUUUGAGCUUGUCCAUGAGCCAGAGAAGAAUCAGAGGGCAGUGUUGGUGCCCUUAAUGACCUCUACAGAUCAGCUGUGCUGCCUGCGUAUGGGAGACAGAGGGGACAGCCCUCAGUUCCAGGACUGGUGUUCCCUUUGUCAUACAGGUGAGCUUUCAGAGUAGACCUGCAGUCUCUGCUCAUUGGUCUGGUGCAGAAUAUUUUUCUCUAGGAAGUGAAGAAGAAAUCAAAAACUCAGCUGUGACUUUUUUUCUGACUGCAGGUAACCAAACUGUGUUACCAUUACUAGGGCUUUAAUUGGUAAAUCUUCAUUCAACUUCUCCCACAAAUACUGGAGCACAAUCUUAGCAAUAUCCUUUAUGAGUCUGUUUCUCUGCACAGGCUUAAACCUGCCUGGUUCAAUGUGCUCAGUUUGUAAACAGUAGAAAGUACAAUAGAUCAUUUGUAAGGGCACUAGCACAUUAACAGAGGCUGGAGUUUCUGUGCUUCUGAGCAAACAGCCUGCCUGUGUGUUCUCAAGUGCAUGCAAUCAUACUCUUGUCAGAGUAGAACUUCAGGCUCAGAGCAUGAACUUUUUGGUCCUGGAGUUGUAUCUGACAGUGAAACCCUAAAAUACUCCCAACCUAGUUCUGACUCACUUGGUAGAUCCUGUUGAAAUGCAACAAUACUUCUACUACAGUCAUUCUUUAUUUUAUUUUAUUUUAUUGUUUUCAAAGCAUAGUGCCACAUCUGUAAGAGACGGCUGUCAAGGAUGUGGCAAAACCAUCCCUUGGAUCCCUAUGUCAAGAAAACAUACAUCACUGCUGGUGCUUCCCAGCUCUAAGUUCUAAACAACUUCAAUUUAUAAUCAGAUAGUGAGGCAACAACAGUAAUAACAAAGCAGGGUGUAUGGGGGAGAAAUCAAGCAGUUGCACCCUGCUUUUGCUUUAAGUGUUUGCAUCUUAUCAGUUGAGGAAAACGGCCUCCAUGCUGUAAAGUUACAAGAGUUCAUUGUGACAUCUGUUUCUUCUUUUGUCAGAUAGGAUGAUAAAACUUACAUUAUUAAUUUCCUGUGUUGUUUUCUGUUAAAAAGCGUCAGUGUUUAUAUUUUUAUAUUUCCACAUGGACCUAGUUCUGUAUGGUCAUUUAAAAAUUCUAUUUCAUUGUUUAUAUACAUAUAUAGAGAAAUAUAUAUACACACAUAUAACAGAUUUGUUCCAGUUUUGAAUUUCUCUUUUGAAUGGGUGUGAUAUGAAAAGUAGCAGUGAAAGUAGAAUUGUAGUUCUCAAAUUGAUUAUUUCUCUAUCGAUCUAGAAAUUACUUUCUCUGUUUCUGUGAAAAAUAUUUUUUCAGUCCUCCACUGACACCUUUCAAAUGCACUCACUGUAUUUCUAUGUAGUUUACGUGCCAACUUCAGUCAUUGAUCUGAUUUUAGCAAAGCUGUUUUGUUAAUGAUCCUUCUGUCUUUAUCCCAAAGCAAGUAAAUAGGUGCAGAGCUAAAGGCUUAAAUUCACAGUAAUUACAUCUCUUUGACUUCUUUAAAUAAACACACAGGAGUCGAGGUCAGAAUAUGAAUCUUCUGUUUUUGUUAAUUAGUGUUACUACAUUGUUCCAAGUGUUACCUGUCUUGCUAGUGUGAGUAAAGAGUCCCUGUUCGAGACACCCCAUGGAAUGUGAAAAUGCUGAUUUUCACAUAGUCCUCUUAAUGAAGUUAAGCGACUGCUGUUUGCAGCAAUGCAUUUUGGUGCUGAGGAUGUAAAUUAGAGUCUUUUCCAGAAUGCCAAUUCAAAUCCAAACAGUAAUCUUCAAUGCCCCCAAAGCAAAAUUUAACCUCAGUCUACUAAACGUUUGAUUUUUAUCUAAAUGAUAAAACAGUCUGUCUUGCUUGCCUUGGGCAAAAGAGACUAGGAUUGAAACCUGUGGCAUUUUAUGCUUUGAUUCAUGUAACUGAGUCCCUUGGCAGCUAACCCUGCAUCUCAUUUCUCUUAUGACAUUAUGGCUUUCUCCCCUUCCACAAGCCCAGGCAGUGUGGCAGCCUGAUCUGUCAGCUGCCGAUGCAGUCAUGACAUAUAA